RNAcentral lists this long non-coding RNA (630 nucleotides) under Carica papaya (papaya). Its description in RNAcentral is "long non-coding RNA (CPAP_LNC005529)". The record is from RNAcentral. Lineage: Eukaryota; Viridiplantae; Streptophyta; Magnoliopsida; Brassicales; Caricaceae.
AGAAAUAUAUAGUUAAAGUGCAAAAAAAAAAAAUUCAGCCACGUGGGAUGAUUCAGUCAGCAGUCCCGACGAAGCGGAGCACGCCGCAUGUCAAAACACAUUGACGUCGGUGCCACGUAGGAGGCCACAUGUUCAAUCCGCGUGACCAGCAAUCUGACGACCCAAGUUCGAUCCCGUGCAUGUGAAUGACUUAGAUUCGUUCCCUCUUUAGGCGCAAUCGGAUGGACGAGAUCAAUCGCGAUGAACGGUCCAGAUUCGUUUCCUUCUUAAGCGCGAUCAGAUGGACGAUAUCAAUCACGAUGAACAGCACAUAUCAACACGGGAUGAGUAUAAAUACCUCGCAUCGCAGGGCACCCAAACCCUAGCCGCCAGCCCCCAUUAGAGAAGAAGAACCAGACACUGGAGAAGAAGGUCGAUCGUCAACUGCCACUCCACCGGAGCCACACCCAACUGCCAAAAAAGGUAAAAUUUUUCUCUACCAGCUCGGAAUAUAAUUUCGAGCAUCCUUGUGGCCAAAUCAGAGUAAGAGGGAUGACAGGUGAGCUUAAAACUACAGGUAAAGUCCGGCAGAGUCGCCGCAGCCAAAACCCAAAAAUCUCUUCGAUGAGACCCUUCCUGCUUAUUGUUUCC